GAUGAACGCUGGCGGCGUGCCUAAUACAUGCAAGUCGAGCGAACGGACGAGAAGCUUGCUUCUCUGAUGUUAGCGGCGGACGGGUGAGUAACACGUGGAUAACCUACCUAUAAGACUGGGAUAACUUCGGGAAACCGGAGCUAAUACCGGAUGAUAUUUUGAACCGCAUGGUUCAAAAGUUAAAGACGGUCUUGCUGUCACUUAUAGAUGGAUCCGCGCUGCAUUAGCUAGUUGGUAAGGUAACGGCUUACCAAGGCAACGAUGCAUAGCCGACCUGAGAGGGUGAUCGGCCACACUGGAACUGAGACACGGUCCAGACUCCUACGGGAGGCAGCAGUAGGGAAUCUUCCGCAAUGGGCGAAAGCCUGACGGAGCAACGCCGCGUGAGUGAUGAAGGUCUUCGGAUCGUAAAACUCUGUUAUUAGGGAAGACCAUAUGUGUAAGUAACUGUGCACAUCUUGACGGUACCUAAUCAGAAAGCCACGGCUAACUACGUG
RNAcentral lists this ribosomal RNA (497 nucleotides) under uncultured bacterium. RNAcentral describes it as "partial 16S ribosomal RNA". It matches the Rfam family "Bacterial small subunit ribosomal RNA", at positions 28 to 507 of the family's 1533-position model. The record is from RNAcentral.